Molecule: ribosomal RNA, 1016 nt
Filed under: Mortierella pseudozygospora
Lineage: Eukaryota; Fungi; Mortierellomycota; Mortierellomycetes; Mortierellales; Mortierellaceae
Description: eukaryotic LSU rRNA
Rfam family: Eukaryotic large subunit ribosomal RNA
Source: RNAcentral
AGUGAAGCGGGAUGAGCUCAAAUUUAAAAUCUGGCUGGUUUACUAGUCCGAAUUGUAGUUUAAAGAAGCGUUUUCGGUGGCAGCCUGGGUAUAAAUCCUUUGGAAUAGGGUAUCAUAGAGGGUGAGAAUCCCGUCUUUGACUCAGUGCAUGCUACUAUGUGAUACGUUUUCAAAGAGUCGAGUUGUUUGGGAAUGCAGCUCAAAAUGGGUGGUAAAUUUCAUCUAAAGCUAAAUAUUGGCGAGAGACCGAUAGCGAACAAGUACCGUGAGGGAAAGAUGAAAAGAACUUUGAAAAGAGAGUUAAACAGUGCGUGAAAUUGUUGAAAGGGAAACGCUUGACACCAGUCAUGCGGGCGGAAAAUCAGUCUCUUGUAGUAGGGAGUGGUGGGAGUUUGGACCGCAAGGCCAGCUUUUGCUUCAUCUUUGCUAUAAGUGGUGCACUUUUUCGUUUGCAGGUCAACAUCAGUUUCUUCUGCUGGACAAAACUCCGAGAGAAGGUAGCAGCUUAGGCUGUGUUAUAGCUCUGGAGCGAUACAGUGGAGGGGACUGAGGCUUUCGCAGCGUGUGCUCUCGGGCAAGGCUGAUUGGGUGCUAUGAGAUCGUUCGGUGUACAAUGCAUGCAUUUUGCGCCGUGUCUUUUUUAUACUCGCUCAACUCGGCUCUUCCACGCUUAGGAUGUUGACUUAAUGGUUUUAAUCGACCCGUCUUGAAACACGGACCAAGGAGUCUAACAUAUAUGCAAGUGUUUGGGUGGCAAACCCAUGCGCGUAAUGAAAGUGAACGUAGGUGCCAUCCGCAAGGUGCAGCAUCGACCGAUCUUGAUAUUUUUGGAUAGAUUUGAGUAAGAGCAUAUAUGCUGGGACCCGAAAGAUGGUGAACUAUGCCUGAAUAGGGUGAAGCCAGAGGAAAACUCUGGUGGAGGCUCGUAGCGAUUCUGACGUGCAAAUCGAUCGUCAAAUUUGGGUAUAGGGGCGAAAGACUAAUCGAACCCAUCUAGUAGCUGGUUUCCUGCCCGA